UCAGCAACUGAUAUUUACUAGUUGUGUAGUGCAUUUAUGUGUACAAAAAAAUAACUGUAGGCAUCAACAGUUCAUUGAAAACCAAUUUUUUUUAAGAAAAUGGGAAAAAAAAUAUUAAAAAUAACUAAACCUGCCCAAUUCGAGAGGUUGAUUGAGGUUCUGCAGCAGAAACCUGAGCUGGCCAGAGGCAAGGGACAAUUCGGUUCCACAAAAAGAACCCAAGACGAAGAAUGGGAAAAUAUAGCUGUUCAACUGAAUAGCAUUGGACCACCAUCAAGACCACCAUAUUUUGGUGCUAUGAUUCGAACAUGAGUUCCAUCGAUGCAUCCUAUUACUCCAGGAAAUCUGGUUUUCUCGUAAAAAUUAAUUUUUGAUAAAUUCAUCUCAUCAUUUGUCAAACGAGCCUUAAUGCAUUGUGGACAGAUACGUUCUUCUACUACGUCUAGCACUUUUUUUACCACUACCGAAACUAUUGGCUGAGCAAGGCCUAAAUUAAAAUCAUUAUCACUGCACUUUUGGUAACUUCCUUCUGCCAUGAAACGUAGGGCAGUGCAGAGUUUGAGAAUUGGUGGGAUUGCGGAGGAACGCUGUGGUUGUUUCAAAUGAUCUUUGAUUUCAUUUAGCACAUAAACAAAUGCGUCUUUGUUGAGUCUAAAAUAACUUAUAAAUCUGAAACAAAACAAAGACAUUAAAAUCAACACUCAUCAAAGAAUUCGUUUAUAAAUAAUACUUUUUGUUUGGAAGUUCCAAUGGAUUGGAGUGAUCUCGAAUAUUUUUUCUCAUCAGCGCAACAUUCAGGGGAUUUUCUUCUUCCGAAUUUCCAAGAAACAAA
Eupeodes corollae is the source of this 832-nucleotide long non-coding RNA. RefSeq lists it as uncharacterized. NCBI's taxonomy places the organism in Eukaryota, Metazoa, Arthropoda, Insecta, Diptera, Syrphidae. The transcript has 2 exons. The record is from RefSeq and is a predicted model, not a curated record.